RNAcentral lists this long non-coding RNA (519 nucleotides) under Homo sapiens (human). RNAcentral describes it as "long independently transcribed non-coding RNA 2703, transcript variant 6 (LINC02703)". The record is from RNAcentral. Lineage: Eukaryota; Metazoa; Chordata; Mammalia; Primates; Hominidae.
ACACAAGCUCUGCUGUCAGCCAUGUGGAUGUGAGGCUGAGAUGGAAAGAAGAAGGAGAGGUGCUCAAAAGUCUGCUGAAGAAAGAUGAAUAGCCCCUUGAAUGAAGCAUGCCGGGCCUCAUCUCGGACCUGCACACUGCCCCUCAUUAUGUUCAUGAUCGGGAAAUGGAUAAAGAGUGGCCAGAAGGUGAAAAAGAAGAGAUGGCCCCCUGAAAGGGACAUCCACAUUUAUUUGAGCACCUACCAGGAUACCUGCUUUGGGAGCCUUCUGCUGCUGCGUGAGAUCCCUGGCUACCCUGGAGAGACAUCAGACAACAAGUGAGAUGCCCAAGAGCCCUAGCUGUCUUUGUCUUUGCAGCCCAAGCUCCAGACAUGUACUGAAGAAGCUUUAAGGAUAAAUUCAGUCCCAACUACUCCCUGGCUACAACUAUGAGACAGACCCUCCCAAGUCAGAACUGCCUAGCCAAGCUCAGGCAACUCCAAGAUUUAAGAGCAAAAUAAAAGAUAGUUAUUGCUUUAA